GCCAUGACGGGAGGAGCUGCCGUGACGGCUGUAGGUGCAAAGGACAUUCAGUGCCCACCCAGAGAAAAUAAGUGGUGCUCCAGCUGUCCAAGUAAAAGGUUGGGUAUUAAUAUCACGUCCAGCCUUUCCACAGUGUUCAGGGAAAUCAGUCAAGAUCAUGGUGUGGCUUUAUGGCAGGGAAAGGGAGAG
This is a long non-coding RNA of Passer montanus (Eurasian tree sparrow), 189 nucleotides long. RefSeq lists it as uncharacterized. The transcript has 3 exons. The record is from RefSeq and is a predicted model, not a curated record. NCBI's taxonomy places the organism in Eukaryota, Metazoa, Chordata, Aves, Passeriformes, Passeridae.